This 415-nucleotide ribosomal RNA is filed under the name uncultured bacterium. RNAcentral describes it as "bacterial SSU rRNA". It matches the Rfam family "Bacterial small subunit ribosomal RNA", at positions 29 to 490 of the family's 1533-position model. The record is from RNAcentral.
AACGAACGCUGGCGGCAGGCUUAACACAUGCAAGUCGAACGCACCGCAAGGUGAGUGGCAGACGGGUGAGUAACACGUGGGAACGUACCCCUUUGUUCGGAAUAACCCUGGGAAACUAGGGCUAAUACCGGGUACGGCCGGAAGGCGAAAGGUUUACCGCAGAGGGAUCGGCCCGCGUCCGAUUAGCUUGUUGGUGAGGUAAUGGCUCACCAAGGCAUCGAUCGGUAGCUGGUCUGAGAGGAUGGCCAGCCACAUUGGGACUGAGACACGGCCCAAACUCCUACGGGAGGCAGCAGUGGGGAAUAUUGGACAAUGGGCGCAAGCCUGAUCCAGCCAUGCCGCGUGAGUGAUGACGGCCUUAGGGUUGUAAAGCUUCUUUUACCUGGGAAGAUAAUGACGGUACCAGGAGAAUAAG